This is a non-coding RNA of Podarcis lilfordi (Lilford's wall lizard), 70 nucleotides long. Lineage: Eukaryota; Metazoa; Chordata; Lepidosauria; Squamata; Lacertidae. The record is from the annotation of a GenBank genome assembly.
GAGAUAGCUCAGCCAGUAGAGCAUGAGAUUCUUAAUUUCCGGGCUGGGGGUUUGAGUCCCUUGUUGGACA